This 173-nucleotide non-coding RNA is filed under the name Fervidicella metallireducens. The record is from RNAcentral. Lineage: Bacteria; Bacillati; Bacillota; Clostridia; Eubacteriales; Clostridiaceae. RNAcentral also lists the same sequence under 1 other name.
UUAAAUAAUGAAGCUUCAGGUGUUCCAAUAUGGAAUGAAAAGGGAAAGCGGUGAAAAUCCGCUGCAGCCCCCGCUACUGUAUACGGCGACAAAGCUCAAUCCACUAAAUAUUUGGGAAGGAGAGCUUAGGAUGACCCGUCAGCCAGGAGACCUGCCUGUUGCAUACUGGAUCU